Molecule: ribosomal RNA, 443 nt
Filed under: uncultured bacterium
Lineage: Bacteria
Description: bacterial SSU rRNA
Rfam family: Bacterial small subunit ribosomal RNA
Source: RNAcentral
CUACGGGAGGCAGCAGCAAGGAAUUUUCGGCAAUGGGCGCAAGCCUGACCGAGCGACGCCGCGUGGAGGAUGAAGGCUUUCGGGUUGUAAACUCCUGUUGGGGGGGACCAAAUCAAUGAGAGAACCCCUGAGGAAGCACGGGCUAAGUUCGUGCCAGCAGCCGCGGUAAGACGAACCGUGCGAACGUUAUUCGGAUUCAUUGGGCUUAAAGAGCACGUAGGCGGCGACAUAAGUCGGAGGUGAAAUACUGUCGGCUCAACCGCGGAAUUGCCUUUGAUACUGUGUUGCUUGAGGAGUUUAGGGGCGAGUGGAACUUCCGGUGGAGCGGUGAAAUGUGUUGAGAUCGGAAGGAACGCCAGUGGCGAAAGCGACUCGCUGGGAACUAUCUGACGCUGAGGUGCGAAAGCCAGGGGAGCAAACGGGAUUAGAUACCCUAGUAGUCC